Molecule: microRNA, 21 nt
Filed under: Rattus norvegicus (Norway rat)
Lineage: Eukaryota; Metazoa; Chordata; Mammalia; Rodentia; Muridae
Description: rno-miR-6317
Source: miRBase by way of RNAcentral
GUGAACCUGAGAGAAAGGCUC